Long non-coding RNA from Oncorhynchus tshawytscha (Chinook salmon), 759 nucleotides. The record is from Ensembl. NCBI's taxonomy places the organism in Eukaryota, Metazoa, Chordata, Actinopteri, Salmoniformes, Salmonidae.
CAGGCAUUAUGACAGGUCCCUACUGUACCCUACUGUUGUGCUGAAACCUUUCUUUGCCCCUAAAGCUAAGGGAUGUGACCCCUUAUGUCUACCUGAUGGGUUUGUGAACUGCUCUGCUGUCAACUUUACUGUCAACUCUACAUGCCGAUUGAGCUGUGAGAAGGGGAACCUACUGCUGGGAUCCCCAGAAGUCAGCUGUGGCACGGACAGGGUCUGGACUGCAGUCUGGGGCGAUGACAUCUGGAGCAGGAUCUGGGUCUGGAGCGGGAUCUGGGUCUGGAGCGGACAAAGGUUAUCAGCAUGUCCUAAUGGCUGUAGCUGCUGGUUGGAUGCUCUCAAUGUCCUGCUGCAUCUGCUGUUGUUUCAAUCACAGAAAAAAAAAAAAGCAUGCUCAACUAAGGGAACCAGAUGAGGGUGUGACGUCAUCCAACGAGACAGGGGACAACUGAUGGACCUCUGAGACUUCAUACAUUAUGUCAAUCUACCUAUUAUUUCAACAUACUGUGUGGAUUAGUCCACAUCAAAUACAGUGCCUUGCGAAAGUAUUCGGCCCCCUUGAACUUUGCGACCUUUUGCCACAUUUCAGGCUUCAAACAUAAAGAUAUAAAACAUAACAUAAACAUAACAUAACAUAAAGAUAUAUGUAUUUAUCAUCAUUAGUCAUUUAGGUCAACAUUGGAUCAUUCAGAGAUCCUCACUGAACUUCUGGAGAGAGUUUGCUGCACUGAAAGUAAAGGGGCUGAAUAAUUUUGCACGCCC